This 460-nucleotide ribosomal RNA is filed under the name uncultured bacterium. RNAcentral describes it as "partial 16S ribosomal RNA". It matches the Rfam family "Bacterial small subunit ribosomal RNA", at positions 338 to 795 of the family's 1533-position model. The record is from RNAcentral.
CCUACGGGAGGCAGCAGUGAGGAAUAUUGGUCAAUGGACGAAAGUCUGAACCAGCCAAGUAGCGUGAAGGAUGACUGCCCUAUGGGUGGUAAGCUUCUUUUAUAAAGGAAUAGAACGAGGCACGUGUGCCUUUUUGCAUGUACUUUAUGAAUAAGGAUAGGCUAACUCCGUGCUAGCAGCCGCGGUAAUACGGAGGAUCCGAGCGUUAUCCGGAUUGGUUGGGUUUAAAGGGCGUGCAGCCGGAGAGACAAGUCAGAUGUGAAAUCCACGGGCUCAACCCGUGAACUGCAUUUGAAACUGUUUCCCUGGAGUGUAGGAGAGGUAAUCGGAAUUCCUUGUGUAGCGGUGAAAUGCGUAGAUAGAAGGAAGAACACCAGUGGCGAAGGCGGAUUACUGGACGAUAACUGACGGUGAGGCGCGAAAGCGUGGGGAGCAAACAGGAUUAGAUACCCCUGUAGUC